UCUGCUCCGGCUUCAACGCCUCUAAACUCCCCGGCACUGCGAGGUUUCAAGCCGGGGGGGAGCGGCCGCGGCCAAGCAAAAGCCCCGCCCCGUUUCCCUAUCGCCCACCAAUAGAAACACCGCUUGCUCCUGAUUGACUUCGACCGCAGCCAACAGCGGCUGAGGAGGCGGGGCAAGUGGCGCUAGGAAGAGGGCGUGGCGUUCUAAGCUCCGCCGCUAACGCUCGAGAACAAGCAUCACUCCGCCCCCAAAGAGCCCAGGCCAAUGGACGCUGAGUCAGGGAGGAUGGUAGAUUGACAUGAUGGCCAGCCAAUAAGAACUAGAAUAGGCCGCGUUUUGUCAGGCUGGCCCUGCCAGAGUCAGAUGAGAGAACUAUCUACAAUGACUCCAAGAUCUGUUUCUUGAGUGGUAACAGGACCAGUGUUCCUAGCCAAAAUUUGAUACAGUAAAAGAAGAAGAGGGACAAGGGAGCAAAGUUGUUUACCUCAGACGAAGGCAUAUUGCUAAACUCUAACCACAGGACUUUGUUAAGAAAACCACACGUACAUAACAGAAUGUUACACCAUAGUAUUGGUAAGAGUUCUGUAGCAUCUGAAAUACCAACAAAGUGAGCUUCACUGAAAGUUCAAAAUGUAGGAUGUCUCAAGAAUGCUCAGUAUUGGUUUUAUAAAGCUGUAGCAUGUGCUAGUACAGUGGUCUCCAAACUUUUUUACACCCAAGCUCACUUUUUAAACGUCAGGGCAAGCCAAGAUCUACCCCAUCCUUCUCCAAGACCCCAACCCUUCCUUGAGGCCCCACCCUCUGUUCCCCACCUCUCCAUCAUUUUCUGUCCCCAGCUCUUACUCACUCUCACUGGAUUGAGACAAGAGGUGCAGGCUCUGGGGAGGGAAUGAGAG
Non-coding RNA from Pelodiscus sinensis (Chinese soft-shelled turtle), 896 nucleotides. The record is from RefSeq and is a predicted model, not a curated record. Lineage: Eukaryota; Metazoa; Chordata; Testudines; Trionychidae.